This 336-nucleotide unclassified non-coding RNA is filed under the name Hevea brasiliensis (rubber tree). Lineage: Eukaryota; Viridiplantae; Streptophyta; Magnoliopsida; Malpighiales; Euphorbiaceae. The record is from RNAcentral.
AGCUUUUGAAGGAGCAAUCAAAGAAGCAUUUGAAAAGCUGGUUUCGGAAGGUAAAACAACUCCUGUAAAGGAAAUAACGCCUCCACAAAUUCCUGAGGAUCUCAACACAGCAAUUAAGAGCGGGAAAGUUCGGGCCCCAACACAUAUUAUUUCCACGAUAUCUGAUGAUAGAGGUGAAGAGCCAUGCUACGCUGGUGUACCCAUGUCAUCUAUUGUGGAGCAAGGAUUAGGUGUCGGUGAUGUCAUUUCUCUAUUGUGGUUCAAACGCAGCCUCCCCCGUUAUUGUACACGUUUUAUUGAGAUUUGCACUCUGUUGUGUGCUGACCAUGGUCCCUG